Molecule: long non-coding RNA, 96 nt
Organism: Amblyraja radiata (thorny skate)
Lineage: Eukaryota; Metazoa; Chordata; Chondrichthyes; Rajiformes; Rajidae
Exons: 3
Source: RefSeq, a predicted model, not a curated record
GGAAACAAAGGCAAUGGAAAAUUCCACCAAGGACCAGGUUUGGACAGCUGGAGGCAGCCCGGGAUUGGCAGAUGCUGGUGGACAUGUACCAACGAU